Molecule: ribosomal RNA, 110 nt
Filed under: Musa acuminata subsp. malaccensis (wild Malaysian banana)
Lineage: Eukaryota; Viridiplantae; Streptophyta; Magnoliopsida; Zingiberales; Musaceae
Source: RNAcentral
AUGUUCAAUCAUACCAGCACUACUGCACAAAAUCUCAUCAAAAAUCCAAAGUCAAGUGCGCUUGGGCGAGAGUAGUACUAGGACCCUUGGAAGUUCUUGUGUUGCACUCC